Molecule: ribosomal RNA, 397 nt
Filed under: uncultured bacterium
Lineage: Bacteria
Description: bacterial SSU rRNA
Rfam family: Bacterial small subunit ribosomal RNA
Source: RNAcentral
GGAAUUUUGCGCAAUGGGGGCAACCCUGACGCAGCAACGCCGCGUGGGCGAUGAAGGCCUUCGGGUCGUAAAGCCCUUUUGAGGGGGACGAUGAUGACGGUACCCCUCGAAUAAGCCACGGCUAACUACCUGCCAGCAGCCGCGGUAAUACGUAGGUGGCAAGCGUUGUCCGGAUUUACUGGGCGUAAAGGGCGUGCAGGCGGUUUGUUUAGUCUAGGGUGAAAGCUCCCGGCUUAACUGGGAGAGGUCCUUGGAUACUGGCAAACUUGAGGGAGGCAGAGGAAAGUGGAAUUCCCGGUGUAGUGGUGAUAUGCGUAGAUAUCGGGAGGAACACCAGUGGCGAAGGCGGCUUUCUGGGCCUUACCUGACGCUGAGACGCGAAAGCGUGGGGAGCGAA